UGCUUUGCUGGCCAGGAUUAUGGCAGCCCAGAAUCGUUCCAAUUUAGCGCCCAAACGGAGCGCAGCCAAGCAGAACGGCCAAGCUGAUGGAGGGGCUCAGUGGUGGCACGAUGAUCGACUAUAGUAUACCGUAUGCAAUGGAAAACAGAAACACUGCUGAAGAAAGCUACCAAAUAUAUAUACCCCAACUUCGACUGGGUAUGAAAUCCCAAGUGUGCACUUAAGGGAUGAAAAAGUGAUCGCAGAUCGAAGCAAUCCACAAGUGUUGGCAGGUUGAGCCACUCCUUGCCCUAUCAGUGUGUUGGUGCCGCCAUGCGAUGGUGUGCAUGUGUGCAUCUGGCAGAGUGUGCGUGUCGAGGGCACCUUACCACAAGAACGCAGUGCAAAUGACGGUGAAAGGUUUCGGGUUUCAUGUUUCCCGAUGGAUGUCGAAGUACCAAACGUACAUGGAGAAAAAUUCUAUGCACUUCUGCAUAUUCCAAUUAUUUGAUAUAGUUCAUAAAGUUUGUAUAGAGGAAAAGUAUCUUAGCAAUGAAAACAAGCAUAUUAGAUUUCAGUGCACUCCUGGAUGUUUCAGAUGGUUCAGCUGGUUACGUGGUCGGGGUGAAUCGGAGUACAUAUGUACAUCGAAGUGGAGGGCAUUGUGCAACGGAGAUUCGAUAUGAGCUCGGCGAUUCGAUCCUGUGCGACAGGAUAAGCCCAGACAGAGCUCCCCCAUGCUCACUAUUUGGCUUCCCCCGGGCAUCGCUGGAAUGUGGAAAUCUUUAUCAAUUAAAUAAUCGCCGCACACACACGCAUGCACUAAGCGAGAUGAAAAGGGGCCUCAUCAUCAUCAUCAUCAGCUGAGCCCUGCAGGCAGAGCUCGAAAAUUAGAGAAGGAAUCUAUAGUCUCGGAUGCAAACUUAGAACCACGAUCAAGGUUAAGUAUUCAAGAUAUUUUAACUUUUCCCAGCUUAGCAGUUACUUAUGUGAAUUGGGAUUGCAUGCCGGAGAUUCGAAAGCGAUCUGCAGCAUUUCUUUCUGUGCUGACCUAUUUCGACGACCUCGUCUGUGCAGCCGGAGGAAGAACUAGGAUGGAGAUAGAGGAUGGUGCACGCACAUCACAUCUCACAACUGAGCUGCAGCUUGGAAAAUGCGCUCAACAUCCGCUCCUCCGAUUGCUUCGAUCUCUGCGAGCGCUUCUUGGAAAUCGUUUAAAACCAGAACAACAACAGUGGCCACAACCAUGGAAGAUCGAACGUUCCGAGGCGUGGAAAUGGCAGCAAAUGAGAGGCCGAGAGGUACACACUCGCACUCCAAAUGAAAAUGCUGUGUAAUUAAUUACGCAGACUGAGGAUCGCUCGGGGGUCCGGAGUAGCCAGUGGAGGGGGCUUAUGAGGAACAAAGACCUGCUGCAGCAGGUUGCAAGCACAUCCAGCAUCGCAUCGAGUGGCCUGGGAACCUUUCGGGAAAGUCGUCGGCCGAACGGAAAGGAAGUUAUCCUAGCACAUGGCUUAUCGACUUUGCGGCACAAAGGGAAAUUACACAUGAAAAUCGAUCGUAAAAAACAUAAAUUUCACAUUUUACGAGCGGAAAGUGGAGGGGCUCUAAUUGAAAAUCUAUCCAUAGUUUCAUGUGCGUCUUUUUGAAGAUCGGGUGUUGGCUGUAUACGGUCUGAACAAUCAAAUAGUCACACUUUGGGCCCAGAUAUGUAUGUCCAGGUAGUUGUGAGGAAGGAUUUCAAAUUCGUUGGCAGAGUAGACUCGCAGUUCCUUGGUCAUAAAUAUUAAAGUGUUUUUUUUUUGGUAUUAAGGAUCACUCUCAAGCCAUUUUUAUGCAAUUCAAAGUAAUAGUGUUGCAAUGCGACAUGAAGAAGCAGGAAAUGAUUAUGUUAGAAACCAGAAAUUAGUAAAGAUGUAUGGGAAAUCCUCACGAGAAAAGUCUAUUAUACAUUCAGCCACUUUUCCCAGCCAAACAAACUACUGCGUCCCACAAAAAAAAAACCAAGCUAAUCACUGAACCGUAAACGAAACUCCCAUAAAUUCCCAAGACGUCGAACAGGUUGAUCGGUCCUCGAUGUGUGCUAAACGAUCACCUGAUCAUCAUAUCGGUCACCUAAUGGGAAUCUCAGCAACUCCCGGCAAAGUUUAAUGAGGAAGCUCGAAAAAACACUCGGUAGGCAGUCAAACGGAUCAGUUACAUGGGUAUCCAUUCCCCGACUCCUUCUCCACCGCCUCCUCCUCCGGCACUUCAGCCGAUCGUCCCAACCUGAUUGGCCACCCACAUAAUCCAGUCAGCUUAUAUAGUUAUGAGACUCUACACCAGAUACUCAGGAUUUUCUCCAAGUGCAGCAUAAAUGCUAAAUUGAUUGAGGCAUAUUGCCGACAUAUCGCGAUGUUGUCUCGAUUAUAUAACUUCCUCGAUCGAGCCCCAAAGACUCAAAAGUCUGGCAAAAGUGUUGCAGACACGCUACCGUCGAAACGACAGCGAUACCGAAUCCGAUGUGGGUACCCACACACCGCAACAUCGCUUUCCGACCUGGAGACUCCGACACCCACUGCCUUACAUUCAUAAUCUAGUAUUUUGCCACACCGCUCGCUGCACAGAAGACUGGGCUCCAAUGUGAAGUUGGGAGCUUGGAGAAAGAGGGAGACAGCAUCCGGAAUCGGAAUGCCAAAAAUGAAAAGAAACGAUGAAGUCGGUGAGUGCACUGAAAACAAAGAUGUAGUUUAAGGAAUUAUAACUGGAUUAUAACUGAAAUUGGAGAAGUUCAUUUGGUUUAUAUACCAAUUCAAAGAAUUACCUAUUACCUAUUAUAACUAUUUAUUAACUUAUUAACUUUUAAGGGGGCUCCCUAUUAUUUUUGCAUAACCCCCGUGCAAAGCAAAGAGCAUCAUUAUUAAUGAAAGACGAGAAGAAUUCAGGUUUGCAAUGCGGUAAUGCGCCGCUAAAGAAGACGGCGCACAAGAUGGUAAUGGUAAUGGUAACCUGUCCCGCGAUCUGGAGAGCGGAGGAGCUGGUCCAGCACCAGCAGUCAGCCAGUGGGUCGUCCAAGUCUUGGGAUGUGGAUGUGGAUGUGGAUGUCUUGCUGUCAGUUUGUGCGCCUUCUGCACUGCGCGCAUGCGCCAUAAAUGGCGAAAAGUCGCAAAAAGGGGCAGAGAGCGAUGAAGAUGCGGCUGUGGAGAAAUGGAGGAGACUGCCGCUGCUGCUGGCUACUGUGCCACUGUUCCACAUUCGGAUUACGGAAACAUCGCCACCGCCAACAGGUCGCCGACAGGUGGGGUCCGGUUCGCCGCGGCUGGAUGGGAUCGGAUCGCUUUUCUCACCGAUUCAGCAUGACCUGCUAUCGCCAUGGGUGCACCAGGAAAAAUCUAUGGGUCAGUAGUUCGUACAUGAUCAAAAAAUAAGUUUGUAAAAUUACUCAAG
Molecule: non-coding RNA, 3405 nt
Organism: Drosophila melanogaster (fruit fly)
Lineage: Eukaryota; Metazoa; Arthropoda; Insecta; Diptera; Drosophilidae
Source: Ensembl